This 484-nucleotide ribosomal RNA is filed under the name uncultured bacterium. RNAcentral describes it as "partial 16S ribosomal RNA". It matches the Rfam family "Bacterial small subunit ribosomal RNA", at positions 30 to 507 of the family's 1533-position model. The record is from RNAcentral.
AUUGAACGCUGGCGGCAGGCCUAACACAUGCAAGUCGAGCGGAUGAAGGGAGCUUGCUCCUGGAUUCAGCGGCGGACGGGUGAGUAAUGCCUAGGAAUCCGCCUGGUAGUGGGGGAUAACGUCCGGAAACGGGCGCUAAUACCGCAUACGUCCUGAGAGAGAAAGUGGGGGAUCUUCGGACCUCACGCUAUCAGAUGAGCCUAGGUCGGAUUAGCGAGUUGGGGGGGUAAAGGCCUACCAAGGCGACGAUCCGUAACUGGGCUGAGAGGAUGAGCAGCCACACUGGAACUUAGACACGGGCCCGACCCCCACGGGAGGCAGCAGUGGGGAAUAUUGGACAAUGGGCGCAAGCCUUAUCCAGCCAUACCGCGUGGUUUAAAAAAGCUUUCGGGUUUUAAAGCCCUUUUAUUUUGGAAGGAAAGCAGCAAGUUUAAACCCUGCUUUUUUUGCGGUUCCCAAAGAAAAAGCCCCGGCUAACUUCGUG